UCAGGCACUUUGCCCCGCAGCUGGCAGC
RNAcentral lists this non-coding RNA (28 nucleotides) under Mus musculus (house mouse). The record is from RNAcentral. Lineage: Eukaryota; Metazoa; Chordata; Mammalia; Rodentia; Muridae.